RNAcentral lists this ribosomal RNA (584 nucleotides) under uncultured Mycoplasma sp. Its description in RNAcentral is "bacterial SSU rRNA". It matches the Rfam family "Bacterial small subunit ribosomal RNA", at positions 570 to 1179 of the family's 1533-position model. The record is from RNAcentral. Lineage: Bacteria; Bacillati; Mycoplasmatota; Mollicutes; Mycoplasmatales; Mycoplasmataceae.
CGCAGGCGGAUGUAUAAGUUCUGUGUGAAAAGCAGCUGCUCAACAGCUGUUGGCGCCGAAUACUAUACAUCUAGAAUACGGUAGGAAGUUUUGGAAUUGAAUAUGGAGCGGUGGAAUGUGUAGAUAUAUUCAAGAACACCAGAGGCGAAGGCGAAAACUUAGGCCGAUAUUGACGCUUAGGCUUGAAAGUGUGGGGAGCAAAUGGGAUUAGAUACCCCAGUAGUCCACACCGUAAACGAUGGGUAUUAAAUUUUGGGGUUAGUGCCUCAGGGUUGUAGCUUACGUGUUAAAUACCCCGCCUGGGUAGUACAUAUGCAAAUAUGAAACUCAAAGGAAUUGACGGGGACCUGAACAAGUGGUGGAACAUGUUGCUUAAUUCGAUAAUACACGAAAAACCUUACCAAGAUUUGACAUCCCUCGCGAAGCUUUAGAGAUAAAGUCAGAGGUUAUCGAGGUGACAGGUGGUGCAUGGUUGUCGUCAGCUCGUGUCAUGAGAUGUUGGGUUAAGUCCCGCAACGAGCGCAACCCUACUCUCUAGUUGUCUGUUUAGAGAGACUGAACAGUAAUGUAUAGGAAGGUCGGGA